ACACGGGGGGCGCAAGCGUUAUUCGGAAUUAUUGGGCGUAAAGGGCGUGUAGGCGGUUUUAUCGGUCAGAUGUGAAAGUCCAGGGCUCAACCCUGGACGUGCAUUUGAAACAGUAAGACUUGAGUACGGUAGAGGAAAGCGGAAUUCCUGGUGUAGAGGUGAAAUUCGUAGAUAUCAGGAGGAACACCGAUGGCGAAGGCAGCUUUCUGGACCGAAACUGACGCUGAUGCGCGAGGGCGUGGGUAGCGAACAGGAUUAGAAACCCUAGUAGUCC
This 274-nucleotide ribosomal RNA is filed under the name uncultured bacterium. RNAcentral describes it as "partial 16S ribosomal RNA". It matches the Rfam family "Bacterial small subunit ribosomal RNA", at positions 523 to 796 of the family's 1533-position model. The record is from RNAcentral.